RNAcentral lists this ribosomal RNA (429 nucleotides) under uncultured bacterium. RNAcentral's name for it is "partial 16S ribosomal RNA". It matches the Rfam family "Bacterial small subunit ribosomal RNA", at positions 338 to 795 of the family's 1533-position model. The record is from RNAcentral.
CCUACGGGGGGCUGCAGUAACGAAUCUUCCGCAAUGCACGAAAGUGUGACGGAGCGACGCCGCGUGGAGGACGAAGUCCUUCGGGAUGUAAACUCCUGUCAGGGGCUACCGGGGCCCCAGAGGAAGGCACGGCUAACUCUGUGCCAGCAGCCGCGGUAAGACAGAGGUGCCGAGCGUUAGGCGGAAUCACUGGGCUUAAAGCGUGUGUAGGCGGGCCGUUCAGUGCCUUGUGAAAUCCCCCGGCUCAACCGGGGAACGGCUGGGCAUACUGGCGGUCUUGAGCCACCUAGGGGCGAGCGGAACAAGCGGUGGAGCGGUGAAAUGCGUAGAUAUCGCUUGGAACGCCGACGGUGAAAACAGCUCGCUGGGUGUGCUGACGCUGAGACACGAAAGCCAGGGGAGCGAACGGGAUUAGAUACCCUUGUAGUC